Molecule: ribosomal RNA, 420 nt
Filed under: uncultured Streptococcus sp.
Lineage: Bacteria; Bacillati; Bacillota; Bacilli; Lactobacillales; Streptococcaceae
Description: bacterial SSU rRNA
Rfam family: Bacterial small subunit ribosomal RNA
Source: RNAcentral
CGUAAGAACCUUACCAGGUCUUGACAUCCCGAUGCUAUUUCUAGAGAUAGAAAGUUACUUGGUACAUCGGUGACAGGUGGUGCAUGGUUGUCGUCAGCUCGUGUCGUGAGAUGUUGGGUUAAGUCCCGCAACGAGCGCAACCCCUAUUGUUAGUUGCCAUCAUUCAGUUGGGCACUCUAGCGAGACUGCCGGUAAUAAACCGGAGGAAGGUGGGGAUGACGUCAAAUCAUCAUGCCCCUUAUGACCUGGGCUACACACGUGCUACAAUGGUUGGUACAACGAGUUGCGAGUCGGUGACGGCGAGCUAAUCUCUUAAAAGCCAAUCUCAGUUCGGAUUGUAGGCUGCAACUCGCCUACAUGAAGUCGGAAUCGCUAGUAAUCGCGGAUCAGCACGCCGCGGUGAAUACGUUCCCGGGCCUU